UGAAGUCUGAGGAAAACAGACUGCUGC
This 27-nucleotide non-coding RNA is filed under the name Rattus norvegicus (Norway rat). The record is from RNAcentral. Lineage: Eukaryota; Metazoa; Chordata; Mammalia; Rodentia; Muridae.